AGGAGGUGGCUGUGGGGGUGCGUUGUGCCUGCGUGCUGGUGUGCCGGCUCACCCUGAGGGCUUCAAAAUUCACCUCUAGUACCUGAGUCAGCUGCUUCUCUGGUUCAGGUGCUCCUUUGGUUUUUAAACCUUCCUAAGCAGGGUGCUUAGGCGCAUUCUGCGGGGUUGAGGUCCUUGCAGUCGCUUGGACUCCGUGAUAUCGUUGUUUAAAGACAUAAAAAACUGAAAUGUUGUCAGUUUGGAGAGCUGUGCUGUCAGCUUGCCUCUCCUUUAUCCCUUUUCCUACUGCUGUCAGCUUCACCGGUAUACAGCCAGUGCCUGAGUAAAAUGCAUGAAGAUGCAGUGGUACUCAACUUUGUUGAAUCAAGAACACGAUUGUGGAAAAAAUGCCCUUUGCUCACCAGGUAUGGCUCAUAGUUUCACAGUAAUUAUAUGCAAAGUGCAAGUGGGCAGAAAAGAGGUAAGAGACACUAAGACAAUACCAGAGUUAUUAAAGUAAUCCGGGACAAUCCUGAACAACUGAACUGUGUGUUGAAAUUUGAUUAUGAAGGUAGUUAUUUCAGAUCUUAAUCUAAAAUCCUGCCAUCGGUUAAGUUGAACCAGUUGCAAAUGUACUGCUCUGUACUGGAUUUGUUCAAACACUCCUUGAACUCCGGCACUCAGGGCCCUGUGCAACCCGUUCCAUGCCCACCAUGCAGCACCUGUCCCCAACCCCAGCUGCCCUCCCCUCACACAGCUCCAUGCCGCUCCCUCGGGCCCUGUCGUUGUCACACAGAGCAGAGCUCAGCGCUGCCCCUCCGCUUCCUGCGAGGAGCUGCAGCAGCCAUCAGGCCUCCCCUCGAGUUAGAGGUAGCAGGGCUGGUGAUGGGAGGAUGGCGGUGUAGCCGAGCGCGGCCCCGAGAAGCAGCGCCACCUCGUGACCAGCUUUGCUUUCAAACCGCGUGUCUGUGGGCUGCAGAGAAAGCGCAAACGCUGCCUCCUCCAAAAAAGUAUGCCAGCAGCUUGUUUGGUUCUCAGUACCGCAUAUUUUCCCGGAGAAGCAUGUAGAAGAAGAAUUAAUUAACCCUUUCUUAAAACUUUUUUUUGAUGCUCCUUCAAUUUUCUUCUAACUCUUCUGCUUAAUGAAUCGGUCAGGAUUAUUUGGUGCUGCUUCUUAAAUCUACUGAAUAUUACAGGAACAGCUGUGCUGGCUCACUGUAGAAGCUCCAGUCUCCCCCAGAACCAGAAAAUCGUAGAAUCAUUAAGAUUGGAAGAGACUUCUAAGAUCAUCUAGUCCAACCAUCAGCCCAUCACCACCAUGCCCACUAACCACGUCCCUCAGUGCACUAUCUUUGAAGGGCUGCAGGGUCUGGCUGUGGAUAGCAGGGAGUAGUUUUGGACAUCCUUUGGCUGUGUGUGUUCUACAGCGGAGUUGGUCUCUUCUCACUGGUGACAGGUGACAGGAUGAGGGGAAAUGGCCUCAAGUUUAGGUUGGAUAUCAGGAAACACUUCUUUACAGAAAGGGUUGUUAAGCACUGGAAUAGGCUCCCCAGGGUGGUGGUUGAGUCACCAUCCCUGGAUGUGUUUAAAAACCAUCUAGUUGUGGUGCUCAGGGACAUGAUUUAGUGGAGGUUGUUAGAGUUAGGAUAGUAUGGUUAGAUUGUAGUUGGAUUCGAUGAUCUUUAAGAUCUUUUCCAACCUGAGCAGUUCUUUGAUUCUACCUGCUCCACGGAGGCAGUUGCAUCGAGUUAGUGGGAGCCAUGGAGCCUGUCCACUUGUUUACAGUAAUGGUGAUAAACAUGCCUGUUGCAAGGAUAGAAGGAAAUGUGAGACCUGCAGUUGGCCAUACAUAACAGCAGAGCAAGCUUGUUAGGACUGCUCAGGCUGGAGUUCUGUUUGAUAUUCAGACUUUGCUGCCUCCUAAGAGGGUGAAAACCAUGAAGCUGAAAUUAAAAGAGGUUAUCUAAGUCUCAACCUGAUUUUUUUGGCAAGUCAAAAUUGUCCCUCAAAGAGGGGAGGGGACAGCCUUGCAGCUUGUGUUCUUCUGCUUCUUCCUAUAUUAAAGGGGAACACCACUGGGAUGUAUUUACUGCUUCCUUGAAUGCCUUCAAUAAACAAUAGACAUUUGUGAGGUCUCCCCACUAGGUCUCUUGGAAGGACUUUUGUCUUUUUAUUGUUGUUGUUGUUGCUUUUUCUUUUAUUUUCUGUUCUUACCAUCACCCCAUGCCUCUUUUUUUUUUUUUUCCUCCUCUGAAAAUUGGAAUUAUCAGUUCAUUUGUUCAUUUUGUUUCUGUUUUUAAAAUUCCUUUCUCUAUACUCUCCUCUCUGGAGGGGAGAGAGCAGGGGAUGUUUUUAGCCUGUGUUCAGGGGAGGGCCAGAACCGAUGCUCAUAUGCGGAUAUUUAGUGAAGAACUGAGGAAGUAUAUGAUAUCCUCCCUGAACCCUUUCCCAAGCUCUUCUAUUUUUGGUUCAUGGGGAGGUAAGAUACCCUGAGCCAGAUGUGCUCUUUAGUAGCCCUUGAUGAUCUAUGUAAUGAGCCUGCCUAGUAUGUAAUCCUUGAAUUGAUAUAAAUUUAGCAUCCACAAUAUCCUUUAUGAGCGUUUUGGGAUUCUGUUGCAAAGUUACACCUUUUUACGUGAAAUGAAAAGAAUAAACACAAACUUUGAUCUAAGGUCAAAAGAGUCAUUUAACAAAUGCAUUUUGACUAAGUUCCUUCGCCUGGUAUUUUGGCUCAUUCCUCUCCCUUUCUAUCCUUUCCCUGAUUCCAGCUGGUCUCUGUUCUCUAUGUAAAGCUGUCCUAAGUGCAGUGUUGUAUCGGUCAGAGUGAUGGUAAUUCUUCUCUUGGCAGUCAGUGUGUCCCAGAAUUGUUCUGAAAUAUCUCCAAAAAUAGAUCCUGUCCUGUGAUCUAAAGGGAAAACAUUUGAGACGUUUUAAAUGAAGGAAGGGAGUCUGAAUACAUGACUUUCCUUGGAUCUCUCAGGGAGCUUCACAGCAAGGCUUCUAGCCAAUUUCUAGAUAUGUAUUCCCUUUUUUGAGAAACCUCACGAAUAAAAAUAAUGCUCGACUGCUUUCCCAGGUGUUCCCUGCAUCAGUACAGAUUCUGCUGCAGGAAAAAUAAAGGCUCUCAGAGAAUGUGCUGUAGCCUGUAGGAAAAAAAAAAUAUAUUUGUAUUAUUUCUUCAUAACGUGAAUGAGAAAUAGCUCUGUUUUGAUUUUCUGGUAAUUUUCAGUGAACCCAACUUAGGAGAAGGUGAGAAUGGAAAGUCUGGAGAGCAUCAUAUGACAGUGUAGCACCAAGGCGAAGGACAAAGCAGAGAAAUGUAAUAGAACAUAUAUAAAAUGCAGUCAAUCUUUGUUAAGAGUUGUAAAACAGGAGAGAAAAAAUUAAGACUGUGGUUUGAUCACUGUAUGAGUGAGGACUGAAGUGUAGCUGAUAGAAUGUGGGGGGAAUGAACUCAGCAGAACUGAAUGCGUUGCCAGUUUUACAUUCACAAGUUCAAAGUCCUUUAUAUGUAUAGGCAAUAGGAAAAAAAAAAAAAAAAAGUUGAAAGUACAAUGUGGGCUGUGAUGCCUGUAUAUGAUUGUCCCUUCUUACCUGUUCUCUAUGAUAAAGAAUUCUCUGUAUUGCUUUUUCUUCUGUAUGUCCCUUGUUUUUUAUCCCAGCUGGCAAGAUGCAAUAAUUAAGCCAUAUUCUUGUGCUCUUUCUAUGCUUUUUUGCACUUGUUAUCAAUAGAAGUAUUGCCAGGCACCACGAUUCCACAGUGUUUGUACAUGAAAUGCAAAAAUAAACAAGUGUUGUUAAGGUAUUAGUGUGAAGAGAUUGACAACUCCAGUCUUUCAGACACGUGUAAUGGCUUCUGCUAAACCAAAGCACAUGCCUGUGUGGCUUCUCAUGUUAAAUCAGCGCGUGUCUAUUUGACGAACUGCAUGUACAAAUAAGGAAGAAAAUGAAAUUUGUUCGAUGCUUGGCCAAAGUCCUAGAAUGGUAUUUUAAAGCACCCAGAAAACAAGAAGGAGCACAUUUAGUUGGCUGUUUGCCUUAAAAAGUAAAUUGUUAUCAAGUGUUCUUAUUAGCUGAUGCUUAUAAAGCUUUGUUGGCUGGUGUUCCAAUUUCAGAGUUAACAUGCUUCUUGUGGGCUGAUGAUGUGUUGACAGUGUAAGACCUGUUGCUUUAGAGAUGAUUAGCUCAUGACUAAGGAGAAGGAAUUUCACAGAGGGAAAAAACAAAUAUACCUGUUAGAUACAAUGCAAAGUCAAGGCUUAAGUUACUCUUGUCUGAUGCCAGCUCUGUUUUAGCAAAUACUAAGACCAGGCUUGCCGUCCUCGUUCUACACCCACUCACUUGCCAACUUUAGACAAAGGCUGUAACUUACUGUAAUUCCCAAAGAAAAAUCUGCAACUUUCACAAGUCAAAAAAACACCAGCAAAAAAACCCAAACCAAAACAACAAAAGGAGUAGUUCAAUAUUUUGUGAGGUUGCACACACUGAUAUCUUAAAAUAGUGAAAACAAGGAACUUACAAAUAAAGAUUAAAUAAGUUUUGCAAAGGUGAGCAGAGAUGCUGACCAGAAUGCUGAAAGGAAUGCUGCAGCCACAAACUGUCUGUCUCCUGAGGCGUCCAUAUUCAAGUUAGACUUCACUUGCUUCAUCCUGUAGUAUUUGUAACUGCACUUCAGGCUUGAUCCAAAGACACCACUGACUUACAAAGGAAACGAAUCACCACCAUAUGGUAAAGGAGACUGUUGGGAUUUUCCAGGAGGCGUUUUGAUUUCCUAUCCUGCUGUUAAUCACAUGCUUCAAAGAAACACUUGAACAUCUGCUAGAGCUGCUAGGAUAUGAGUAUCCUGAGUUGGAAGGGACCACAAGGACCAUGGACUUUAACUUCUGGUUCACAAAGCAGCAGUCAGAAUUCAAACCUUAUGUCUGAGCCCUGGGUAGCCACUGCCCUCUGGUGCAGACCCUUUCCCUAACCCCCAGCAGCCCUCCCCUCACACAGCUCCAUGCCAUUCCCUCGGGCCCUGUCGCUCUCAAACAGCAAAGCUGAGCGCUGCCCCUCCGCAUGAGGAGCUGCAGCCACCAUCAGGCUUCCCCUCAGCUCCUCUGCUCUGCGCUGAGCAAACACAGGGAUUGCAGCCUCUCCACAUAGACGUUUCCUUUCUAGACCCUUUUUGUAGCCCUCCUUUGGACGCUUUCUAACAGUUUCAUAUCCUUCUCAUGCUGUGGCACCCAGAGCUGCACACGUGCUUGAGGUGGGCCCACGGCGUGCAGAGCACAGCAGGACAAUCCUUUCCGUCGCCCAGCUGGCAGUGCUGGGUGGGAUGCACCUGUUUCAGCCCUUUUGGCUUCUGAGUCACACUGCUGACUUUUGUUCAACUUCUUAUCAACCAGAAUCCCCAGAUCCCUUCCUGCCGGGUUGCUCUCCAGUCUCUCAUCCCCCAAUUUGUAUAUAUAUAUAUAUAUAUCCAGGAUUGCCCCAUCCAUCCCAUGUACAGAAUCCAGCACUUGCUCUUGUUGAACUUCAUGUAAUUGGCAAUUGCCCAGCCCUCCCAUUUUCAAGAUCUCCCUGCCUCUGUCAAGGCCUCUCCAGGCUCAAGGGGUCAACAGCUGUUAAUGUAGCAUUAUCUGCCAACUUAGUGUGCAUUCAAAUUCUGCAUCCGGAUCAUUGAUGAAAACACUAAAGAGAAAUGGCUCUAGAAUUUACAGUAGUAAUUAUUUUUUACAAGAUUUAGCACAGGGAUUCCCAAAGGAUGUGCUGCCCCAGCAGGCUGUGUGCUUUGUCUGCCCUCAGCAACUGAUCUUGCUCCUAGCAGAGCUAAGCAGUCCCAGGGAACUGGGAACUCAUACAGCCUACAAACUAGAGGAGAAAACUGGAAGAUAGCCAUGUGCUGCUACUUCUAGUCCACACAACAAGUUUUCUAAUCUAAUCUAAUAUCAAAAGGAACGUCAGGAAAACAGUGAUUUCUAUUUGAGUCAAUUUACUGGUUUCUCUUUGCCUCUGCACUGGCGCCUGUAAUCCUGUUCCUAAGUUCACGCUGUUUGCUACCAUCGUGCUGAAUCAUUUCUCUCAAGUAGGAGGAUAUCCAAAAAUGACAGUGGAGUUUGAAAAAUUAAGUGAGCACACCAAAAUAGGAGCUUGGGCACACAAGCUGUAGCAAUGGCAGAUUAACUGCUGCUAUCUAAAAUGUCCUUGCCUCUGCUUUCAUUGUUACUCACACGUUAUUUGGACUUAGACUGUCUUAAUGCCUUCAGUGUAGUAAGAGCUACUCAUUGCCUUUUGAAACACCGCAGGAAUGUAUCAGAUAAUACUUCAGUAACAUUACUAACAAGAAAAGGCUGUUGACAUGAGAAACAUUUUACAAGAUUUCAAGUAUUUUCCAGCUUUCAGAACAAAUGUAAUGGGUAGGAUACUAAAGCAUAGUGUCACUAAAGGCCUGUUCCAGGACGGGGCCCAUUUCAUUCUUUAACAUACACCAGUGAUCCUAGAAACGAGAAUGCUAUCUAAAGAUAGUUCUUAGAUCAGUAAUGAAACAGAUCCUUACCUCCCUGUGUAAGUAUACUACCUCUGUGACAUCAGUCUGUUGCUAAGCUAGUCUUUUCAGCUGACUUCGUUUUGGGAAUGCUUGCUAUGUGAUGACUGUGCUAAUACAUACCUUACUUAGAAGUAUAAUAAAAGAACAGAAACAAGCAUAUCCUGAGCGGUCAAAAUGCUGCAUAUUACAAGUAUCUCAGCAACAGAGAGGAAGAAAAGCAAGCACAGGCAGCUCCAACACACAGAGUUCUUUUUGGCUUUUUCUCAUGCAGCUAUCAGUCCUUAACUUCCGUUUGACCCUUGUGGAUAUAGCCUUAGAGCAGUAUAAACAGACCACGUAAGAAAUCACUGCUUUUCAGUAGUGCUUCACAGGGUACCAUAUAUUAGAUUUGAGACUAUUAAUUCUGUGCAUCAGCUUAAGAAAAUAAUUUUUCAUCAUCAGCUUAGUCUGGCAUAGAGGUUGGAAACACAUUAUAUAUGAGCCACAAUGGAGAAAUGACUGGAUUCCAAGAUUUUGACUGCAAAAUGUUAAGUUUAAGUCAUCAGAGUCUUAAGCUACUUCAACGACCAAAGUUAUUUUUAUUUUUGGAAGCGGAUUAUUGAUGACACAUCCCUCCAGCCCUAGGCAUGCAACCUCAGCUGUCUCAACAUUCCUUGCUGCCUAACUACAAAAUGCAUCUGAUGCUCUUAUAUGGUCUCUUGGCUGGAUUUAUUCAUGGCCUCCCAGUGGUUAAGAAUUUUGCACCCAGUUGCAAGUUGACUGGUCUCCUAUAGUACAACAAGAAUUGUAGGGAAAUGUGGCUGUGGAUGGUCAGCAGUAGCUGUACUUGAAAAUGCUUGGAAAUUCUCCCUCAAUAACACGUCUUCCUAAGCAAGUAUUCUCACAAUACAUUUUCCUGUGGCCACCCCCAUCAGAGAAACUGGCCAACAGCACAACACCCACACACUGCAACAAGGAACUAAACAGCUAUGCUCUCCUGUUAGCCUGGCUCUUGAGAAAUUAACAGCAGCAGACUUAAGGUUAACAACUUCCUCUCAAGGAGGAUACAAGGUUCCCUUUUACAUAGAUUUUAUUUAGAAUUGUAAAAUCACUAUUUCAAAACUUAUUUCCAGCAGAAAAAUUCAAGUGGUUUGUUUGCUGCUUACUGAGCCCAGCAUACCAACACCUAAAAUUUACUAAGAUGAUGAGAUGAGGAAAAUAAUGGCUCAGAGACUUGCUGUUUCUAAUAGAAGAGAAAACAUCUUCCAAAUCUUAAACCAUUUGGCCAGAAUUAAAAACAAA
This is a long non-coding RNA of Tympanuchus pallidicinctus (lesser prairie-chicken), 7789 nucleotides long. RefSeq lists it as uncharacterized. The transcript is spliced from 2 exons. NCBI's taxonomy places the organism in Eukaryota, Metazoa, Chordata, Aves, Galliformes, Phasianidae. The record is from RefSeq and is a predicted model, not a curated record.